GAUGAAUAACGCAGCGAAAUGCGAUAAGUAAUGUGAAUUGCAGAAUUCAGUGAAUCAUCGAAUCUUUGAACGCACAUUGCGCCCGCCAGUAUUCUGGCGGGCAUGCCUGUCUGAGCGUCAUUUCAACCCUCAUGCCCCUAGGGCGUGGUGUUGGGGAUCGGCCAAAGCCCGCGAGGGACGGCCGGCCCCUAAAUCUAGUGGCGGACCCGUCGUGGCCUCCUCUGCGAAGUAGUGAUAUUCCGCAUCGGAGAGCGACGAGCCCCUGCCGUUAAACCCCCAACUUUCCAAGGUUGACCUCAGAUCAGGUAGGAAUACCCGCUGAACUUAAGCAUAUCAAUAAGCGGAGGA
RNAcentral lists this unclassified non-coding RNA (348 nucleotides) under soil metagenome. Its description in RNAcentral is "partial contains 5.8S ribosomal RNA, internal transcribed spacer 2, and large subunit ribosomal RNA". The stretch from base 1 to 120 matches the Rfam family "5.8S ribosomal RNA", at positions 35 to 154 of the family's 154-position model. The record is from RNAcentral.